This 201-nucleotide ribosomal RNA is filed under the name uncultured bacterium. RNAcentral's name for it is "partial 16S ribosomal RNA". It matches the Rfam family "Bacterial small subunit ribosomal RNA", at positions 328 to 539 of the family's 1533-position model. The record is from RNAcentral.
ACGCUCGACACCUACGGGAGGCAGCAGUGGGGAAUAUUGGGCAAUGGGCGCAAGCCUGACCCAGCAACGCCGCGUGAAGGAAGAAGGCCCUCGGGUUGUAAACUUCUUUUGUCAGGGACGAAGCAAGUGACGGUACCUGACGAAUAAGCCACGGCUAACUACGUACCAGCAGCCGCGGUAAUCUGAGCGGGCUGGCAAGGC